This 253-nucleotide ribosomal RNA is filed under the name uncultured bacterium. RNAcentral describes it as "partial 16S ribosomal RNA". It matches the Rfam family "Bacterial small subunit ribosomal RNA", at positions 524 to 776 of the family's 1533-position model. The record is from RNAcentral.
UACAGAGGGUGCAAGCGUUGUUCGGAAUUACUGGGCGUAAAGGGCGCGUAGGCGGUUUCGUAAGUCCCGUGUGAAAGCCCCCGGCUCAACUGGGGAAUUGCACGGGAAACUGCGAGGCUUGAGUUCGGGAGAGGGAAGCGGAAUUUCGGGUGUAGCGGUGAAAUGCGUAGAUAUCCGGAGGAACACCGGUGGCGAAGGCGGCUUCCUGGACCGACACUGACGCUGAGGCGCGAAAGCUAGGGGAGCAAACGGG